UGGGUAGCCGGGCGGCGGGCCGCGUGGCCGCCACUACCGGGACGCUGUGGCCCUGCGCGCCUCGGACUCCCUAGUCAGCUGUCGCUUUUCUGUCGUACGCCCGCACCCUGGUGCACGCACGCUCAGCCUGUUUUGCACCGUGCCUACACACUUGGCGUGCUCCGCGUUAGGCCCCCACGCUACACGUCAUAGCUGUGGCCAACCUGUCCUUGCCGAACCCCAGCGGGCCGGGCGGCCCGUACUGCGCCGCGCGCUCCCCCCUCCCUGCGAGGCAGCCCUACUCGCGCACGGAAGUGCGUCCCGGGAGGAAAAGCACCUCCCCGGGGUCUUAGGAGGCAAACCGCCCGCAGUUCACCAGAAGGAAAGCCUUUCACCACAACCCCGGGAAGUAAAUAUUUUCAAGCAGUAUCUCCAUUGCACUGAUGAGAGAACUGAGGCUCCCAAGAGCGUAAAUUCAGGCCCAGUGGCGUCCCGGGUAGAUUCUUUCCAGAAUUGAAUAAUUAAGGGAAAAAACCCGGGGAAGCGUUUGUGUACCUUCUGAGCUGAAUGUGCCCAGCACACAGUGGGCACCCGGAGGAUUUUUUUUCCAGUUUGUUUUGGUGAUGCUGAUGCUCAGGCCUUGACCAGGAUCAGCCAGAAGCCUCUGUAGUCCCUUGCAGUGUGGCAAAUCCACUCAAGAGUUCAGCCAUCUUCCCUCCUAAUUCAAGUCAUCCAAGGAUCCUUUUCUUGAAAGUCAUGAAACUAAGACAACGGACUGUCAAGAACAAACUAAACAAUUGCUUCCAAGCAGCCUUAAUUACCUGGAUCCCAACAGUCAAGUAUUGUUGUUAAAGCACUACGGAGGAGGUCAGUCCAAGCAGUGUGACUCUUUUCUGCUCUGGCCAUGGGAGAAGACAAUAUUCCUUUCAGAGCCUGUAGGGAAGCUGCAACAGUUGAAGAUAACUGGCCCCCAGAGAGACACAGCGAGAGAGGGAUCACAAGCAGGGGGAGUGGGAGAGGGAGAAGCAGGCCCCCCACGGAGCAGGGAGCCCAAUGCCGGGCUUGAUUCCUGGACCCCGGGAUCAUGACCUGAGCCGAAGGCAGAUGCUCAACGACUGAGCCACCCAGGCGCCCCAGAAAGGCAAAAUUUUAAAAAGGAGAGAAGGUCAAGGAAAGCAGUCAAAUACCACAGCAUACCUUCAGGAGAGCACACAGCAGGAAGUUCAGAGAGGAUGACUAACGCAGCUGACACCAAUCUACUUCCAUCUUCCGACAGCACCUGUGGCUUCGUAGCUUUUACUCCUGGGCUACCUGUCAAUUUAGGAUUUAGUUCUGGAAGCUGUCUAACUAGAAUGCAUACACACAAUUCCAGUGUUGCAAAAACCAAAGAUUUCCCAGGCACAAGUCCUCCUGUGUCCUUGCCCUCUCCAAACUCUGGCAGGGUUUCCUUUUCGGCAGCCCCAUCAUCAACUAAAAGACAGAAAGAACAGUGUUGAAUAAACACUUCGUGUUUGCUUUGGUUUGGGUAGAUGGCAAUUUAAGUCCAUUUCUGUUGUAGGUAAAAUAUAUUUUUUUAAAGAUUUUAUUUAUUUAUUUAAUUGACUGACAGAGAGAGAGAGACAGUGAGAGAAGGAACACAAGCAGGGGGAGUGGGAGAGGAGAAGCAGGCUUUCCGCCGAGCAGGGAGCCCCAUGUGGGGCUCGAUCCCAGGACCCUGGGAUCAUGACCUGAGCCGAAGGCAGUCACUUAACGACUGAGCCACCCAGGCACCCCUGUUGUAGGUAAAACAUUUAAAUAAAUGGCUGAAGUCUUGGGUGUUGAAGAAUGAAAGAUAAAGUUAUGGAGGUAAAAGGAGUUGUCUUUAUUAUGACUACCUAUUGCAGUAGAUCAAAAGAAAUCCUUGGUAACCCUCUCAGCUUUAAAAUAUUGUCUAGUUAACAACUUGCUGUUAAGAAUGUGAACCUGAGGGGCGCCUGGAUGGCUCAUUUGGGCAUCUGCCUUUGGCUCAGGUCAUGAUCCCAGGGUCCUGGGAUUGAGCCCCACAUCAGGCUCCUUGCUCUCCUGCUUCUCCUUCUCCCUCUGCUGCUCCCUCUGUGCUUGCUCGCUCUCUCAAAUAAAUAUAAUCUUAAAAAAAGGAAAAAAAAAAGAAUGUGAACCUGAUAGGUCCAGCUCCAGUGCCUACCUUGUACUCUUAAGUAUCGAUAAUGGCGGGCAGAAAGA
Long non-coding RNA from Mirounga angustirostris (Northern elephant seal), 2199 nucleotides. RefSeq lists it as uncharacterized. Lineage: Eukaryota; Metazoa; Chordata; Mammalia; Carnivora; Phocidae. The record is from RefSeq and is a predicted model, not a curated record. The transcript is spliced from 7 exons.